This 1152-nucleotide long non-coding RNA is filed under the name Olea europaea subsp. europaea. The record is from RNAcentral. Lineage: Eukaryota; Viridiplantae; Streptophyta; Magnoliopsida; Lamiales; Oleaceae.
UGUGAUAAGCGAGUAGGAUACUUUUCUAAAAUGUCCCACAUGGCCUGGAUAUUUCAUAACACGUUUCAUUAGAAAGAAAUGGACAUAGCAUUGACUAUUCAUCCAGCAUUUUGUUAGAGGAUGACCUGAGCUGUCUUGUUUAGAACAGCAAAAAGGAGAAUUUUGGCUACUAUAUGUAUUUGGAGACGCAUUUAAUAAAUGCAAUCCUUGUACACUUCGUUCCACUAAAAAAUCGGUCACUUGCAUGAUCUUUUCUAUCUAAGAAGUUGCCAAGCAUGAGUUUGUAUGGUUGAUUAAUUUAAUUUCCCCGAUAGGGAAUGAUAGCGUACAAACCACUACCACAGGUUCUGUUUGACAUUUGUGCUUGAAAGCCUUUUCCCCCCCCUUUUUUUCCUUGAUUUGCAUUGGAUGGUGUUGCAUAUUAGAAGAGCUUAAAAUUUCCGUAUUAGACCUUUAUAUUAUCUGUUACACCUGAUUACUAUGAAAAUGGUGUCAAUGAACUUGUAAAAACUGCUUGUGUUUUUCGUAUGGAUGUUCAUGAUGAUGCUGAGUGCUUGUCCCUAAUUGGAUUGAACCAAGUUUUUAGCAGUAGAAUCUCUCAGUUGCACUGUGUGCACGAACCUAAAUUGAAAGCGUAGGUGACAUGUUCCGUGUUGUACAUUUUCCCAAAUCAGGGAUCUUUCCCAGUCGGAUAGAGCCAAGUAUGGGAUCAUGGACAGCUUGGUGCGCUUCAGUUUUGGAGUUGAAGAUUUCGAAGACUUGAAGGCUGACAUUCUUCAGGCUCUGGAGAUUAUAUAGGCUUCUUGACCUGCUGAUUGUUUUCUAUUUAUUUACGCUUUUCAAAAGGUCCUCAAUUCCAAAUUUGUCGAGAAUAAGAUUUAGUUUGAUGUUGUAUCUGGUCUUCAAUUGUUGUUUGAUAAUCGAAAGCGACUCAUUACCAUGACUUGAUGAUCGUUAUUCAUCAGGGAAUAAUUAUCCCGUUAAUGGAUUUGUUAGCAAUGUGUUUUACUCUUGAAAUAUUCUCAUUUCCUUUAGCAAUAUAUAAUUGAUGCUCCACGAGAGAAUGAAGAAAAAGAAAGAUAUAUAUAUAUUUUUUGAAUAUUCUUCAAUUCGCACUGCAAUGUGCACCAAGAAUCACAGGUUAUUCUCGCA